GACGAACGCUGGCGGCGUGCUUAACACAUGCAAGUCGAACGGAAAGGCCCUGCUUUUGUGGGGUGCUCGAGUGGCGAACGGGUGAGUAACACGUGAGUAACCUGCCCUUGACUUUGGGAUAACUUCAGGAAACUGGGGCUAAUACCGGAUAGGAGCUCCUGCUGCAUGGUGGGGGUUGGAAAGUUUCGGCGGUUGGGGAUGGACUCGCGGCCUAUCAGCUUGUUGGUGGGGUAGUGGCUUACCAAGGCUUUGACGGGUAGCCGGCCUGAGAGGGUGACCGGCCACAUUGGGACUGAGAUGCGGCCCAGACUCCUACGGGAGGCAGCAGUGGGGAAUAUUGCACAAUGGGCGGAAGCCUGAUGCAGCAACGCCGCGUGCGGGAUGACGGCCUUCGGGUUGUAAACCGCUUUCGCCUGUGACGAAGCGUGAGUGACGGUAAUGGGUAAAGAAGCACCGGCUAACUACGUG
RNAcentral lists this ribosomal RNA (468 nucleotides) under uncultured bacterium. RNAcentral describes it as "partial 16S ribosomal RNA". It matches the Rfam family "Bacterial small subunit ribosomal RNA", at positions 28 to 507 of the family's 1533-position model. The record is from RNAcentral.